GUGUGUGUGUGCGUGUGUGUAGGCAUGGUAUGUUUGGCUCCUCUUCUGUGAGUCAGAAGGAAAUGUGUGGAGCGUGCUGAUGAGAUGGUUAAAUGCAGACCAUGUUUGCAUGUUGGCCAGAGGGAGCGUCGGUUAUCUCAGAGAAGGCCGGCAGGCAUGGAUGGAUGUGCCAAAUAAAGAAGGAAAAGGUUCGACUUUCAGAGGGUCGGCAGAAUUAGAGAGGAUGGAGUGUGAUUUUUACAGCAUGGAGAUAAGAAAGGAAGAAAUAUAACAUAAAAAGUCUGGAAAUGAGAGAAAUGACACAAUAAACUCGGAAGGUGCUGUGAGGUUGGCAACGUGCACGGCAGAGCGACAAGGUGCUUCUGGCAGGCUUUGUAGGACGUGCACACAU
This is a long non-coding RNA of Thalassophryne amazonica, 391 nucleotides long. RefSeq lists it as uncharacterized. The transcript is spliced from 3 exons. The record is from RefSeq and is a predicted model, not a curated record. Lineage: Eukaryota; Metazoa; Chordata; Actinopteri; Batrachoidiformes; Batrachoididae.